CGACGAUGAUGAUUGUGAUGAUGCUGAUGAUGUCUAAUUAAGACGACAGGCAACAAACCACUAGACCACGGAGUGGAGAAGAAGAAGAAGGAGAAAGAGGACAACAACGAGAUCAGACGAUGAAGACACAACAGAACUGGAACAGCCAUCCGGAAAAACGGAAGAACGAUGGCGGACACCGGACCGGACGCUGACGCGACAAUCGUUUGUGCCUCAGUAGUACGCGAGCGUCUGCUAGUAAACCUAAUUGAAUAUCAAUUAUUAUUUCUACUAUUACCACAACUAGCGCUAUAAAAAAAUAUGAUAUUUGAUGCGACGAGAAAAAAACUCAGACGAUAUGAUGAGGAUGAUUAUUAUGACCGUAAUAGAACCGCUGUGAAUCUACAAACAAACGAAGCAUAUGAUAGAUCUUUUGGAUAGAAGUAGUUGCCAGAAAAACAAGCGGAUAAACGAGCAUAUAGCAACAACUUACCACUGAAGUUAAACAAUCCACUGUGUCGCAACUGAGCGCCGGUGAAACACAAGCAGAACAUAGACGCACUUCCGUUGAUCGCCUCUAUUUGAGACAUUUUUCCUACUAGUAGCAGUAGUUACGUGCUACGCAGCUCGCUAGCCGUUGACGUUAUUCUAGCCGGAACGACGAUUGUCUAUUUCAUAAUUAGACACAAACUAUAUAUAGACAUCAUUACCAAAAAUAGUGAACGAAAGAAGGACAACGCUGCGAGAGAAAGUGUUAAUACCGCACGUGAUCGGAACGCCCCAAUAGCGGCAAACCAAGCCCACGCUCGUGUAACAGUUCUGAACGAUCCGCAACGUAAAAUGUAUAGGCAGACGCACUCUGGUUCACAUAUAAGGACACAUACACUUAUGGCUAGGUAGGUAGAUGAAUAGCCGCUAUCUGUGGCGAGAGUGAAUGCUAGAUAUUUACAAGCGACGAGAGAUAAGUACAGGUAAGAAUGCGAAUCAUAGAAGUUCCAGAAACUGUAAAAGAGAGACAGCUGAGCUAUAGUAGUAAAUAUUAUCAUUUUAAAAUGAACGGAAGCGCGAGCAAACCUAGGCUAGGAAAAGUUACAGAAAUAUGAUGAAAGAUGGUAUCAGCAACAUAACAACAGCACAUAUAUACGUCCGCACUCUUUGAUAAUCAUUUGAUAAGUGAUGAUAAUAAUUAAUGAUGAACCACAAGUAAGAUGUUCAUAACAAAAAACAAACACACACACACACACAAACACUAUUUGACAGCUGUUGCCACCGCCGAUCUGCUUUCGUAAUUCAGAAACAGUUGUAAGCGGGUGGGCACAUUACCUUACGCCUACCUUUAAUAUAUAUAUAUAUAUAUAUACAUAUAUAUAUAUAUAUAUAUACAUAUAUAUAUAUAUAUAUAUAUGCCGUUGAACUGUGAAAAGUUAAGGAAAAAUAUCUAUUUGAAAAGGCCGUUGUUCUGGCCGAGUUUACACAGGUAGACUCAUUACAUGCCCCUAACUGCUAGAGUUCAAUAAAAUGGGACGGAAAUGAUGAAGACCCCGCUGAGAAAAAAAAGUUUAGUAAUAGCCGACGUUCUUUUAAUGAUAAAAAAAACUAGGUUAGAGGAAUAAGGGCGCCUUUGAUAGGGCAAACCGUUCUAGAGUACAAUGCACAUUCGAAGAGAAAGAAUAACAAUGAAGGAACUAUCGGUCCUUGCUAGAGAGCAUCGGGUUCACACAACCAAAAGCGUCAACUAAAAAAGAAAUAUGGCCAAUUGUUUGCUUUUUUGGCCGUUUGCACAUGCCACACAAAAUAACAGAUAGAAGUCAAGUUUAUUUAUAAGAGAUAUAAAGGGAAACGGUGCAACAAAGGAUGCUAAAGCGAACCUUUAAGCGUUGUUGUAUUUAAUUCGAUUCAUUCAGUGGGAAGAUGCCUAGAUGAUGAGGUUAAUGUUCGAUCGCCGACUUUCAGUUGUGUGUGUGAGCAAUAUUUAUAUUAAAUAGAAGUUCCUUAUAAUUUCUGUUUCGCUCUAUUACGUCUAGACAGACUGAUUUGAUAAGUUUUAUUUUAUGGAAAAAGAGAAAAAACUUUGUUUUUCGGUAAGUUUGAUCUAGAUUUUUUAUGAUUAUUAAGAUAGUCGACUCUGUUCAUAUAUAAAUAGUCUAUGUAGUUAAGAUCGUUCUUCACAAAUAAGUACCGAUUGUAGACAAAUUUUCUAUGUUUGGUUUGUGUAAAAAAAAAACGCGUACGUGCCCUUUGUUUAAUGAUUACGUCCUAAUAUAUAUGUGCUCGAGACCUUUUUACUUCGCAAUAGUUCCUCACCCCUCUUGUUUAUUAGGCCAGAUUUCAAUUCUGGCUGGGUGGCGGACAUGGUGUUGCCCCCAUCUGAUGUGUUUUUCGUUGCCAAGAUUUCGCAGAGCAGGUGGGAACAGAAAUUUAUUGUUGAACGUAAAUAACUAUGUGGUGAAAGAAAUAUUGAAACAGAAAGCAUAUUGUAUAAAUAACUGAUAAUUAGAGACCCUGCCCAAGGAGUUGUUCGGAUUUCCGGGGUUAAGGCAGAAGCCUUGUUGACCAAGUGCAAACAACCCCGCACUACUAUUACAGCUAGUAAGAUAAAAAGGUCAAGAAGGCUUCUGUUAAGGGCAGGUCACGUUGUGGGUACGCUGCUCUGGUGCUGACAGACAAACAUACAGUCAUUAUUUACACUGUACAAUAUUUAGAGCGGGUGGUAUUUUCCCACCGCGCCUAUGGGCGUUACUUCUCUACAUGAAACGUUAUAACCCUAUAUUCAUGCAGGUAUCAUCACGGUGGUAAUAUGGUCGACUGACAUAGAGGCACCAGUACGGAAGUGUGCGAAGUCGUUGGUUACGAGAGACAUGACAGACAAUACAACUUUUCCAGUCGAAACGAAAUAGUGCCGUCACACAUACAAGAUUGAGAAGAGAUCAUAUAUAUAUAUAUAUAUAUAUAUAUAUAUAUAUAUAAAGAAGACGGCAAGAAAAUACGAAAUGGUGUCCUUACAUUGCAUCACCUUUUUUUAGCUAUUUGAUCGUUAAAAAAGCAAUUUGUAGCUUUCUGGUCGUUUCCCGUUGACGAUAAACAACGCCAAAACUUAAGCGGAUUUGUAACUGCCUUGCUCAUGCCUCAAUGAGUAGCGUUUCUACUAAGAUAAGUGCUAUAUAUAAUAUUAAUUUACUGACUAGAAUAGCAAAUCAUGCGAGACGAAAUGUGUGGAGCGUGAUAUAGGUGUGUGGCGUUGUGUCAUAGACACCUUGACGAACACAGUUUCGUCUACGAACGCCAAAAGCAGACCGCGAUGAAAGUAUUCGGAGGACGGGAAAAUUCAAGCGGAUACAACGCCCAGUGAGUAGAGAGUGAUCUGAGUUUCGCCUAAGGCGCGUCCAUGUACGCUUUGUUGUAACAGUCCACAGAUUUGUGAGUUAUGACUGAGGGGCUUCCUCAAAGACAAUGAAGCAAAAAAUAGAAAACAGAAUACGUUUAUUUCAAAGGGACGACAAAGUUUGUCCUUGAUGAGCACGUAAAGGCACAGCUGGCGAGGAGUUUUAGAGCUAUGGCCUAACCCACGCCUAGGCUAGAAGGGUAGCAAAAGAAGCCAGUUUUUGCGCCUCUCUUAGUAAAUUAAUGUCUGGGCAUCGUGUGUAUUUUAAACAGUUUUAUAACACUAGCCGUUAAUUGGUGUCCCCCUUCGAUCCGUCGUUUCCUGCCAACGCAUGAAUGCGAAUGAUAAUAUGUUAACCCCGUGUUGACAGCUGACGACAGGCGAGUGACAGACGCAGGAUCGUGGCGCCAAAUUCAAACUGACUUUCUUCUUGUCAUUAGUCAGGUCCUGUACUAUUCUAGUACCGCCGUUAUUUGCCCCAUUAAUACCGCAUCACCAUCAAAUAAAGACUAAUUAUAUUAUGGAAAUGAACUAUAUCUGUAAUAAUAAUUGUCUCGAAUCUAUGGAAUAUUCUAACUUAUUGAUUUAUACUAUUUCGCAGAAAUGAGAGCAUGUAUGUAAGCCGACGAUGACGAACCAGUAGCGAAUGUCUCAGGCUGUUUCCAUUCGGUCAGAAAUGGGAGCAGCGAUAUGAACUCUACAAACUGUAUUUUAGGCUCCAAAGCUAUUUGUGACGGGUGACUUCUGAAGCUUCUCCUGAGUUAACUGCAAAAGGCAGAUUGUUAAUUACAGCUGAAGACUGACGUGAGGGAACGUGAAAGGUUUCUUAGAUGAUUUAGCAGUUGUUGCUGCUGCGGCGGCGGCGGUGAUACGCCGGAGAAUUAUUUUGAUAGUCGCCCGUCGUUUGACAAACUCAGCCGUAUCUCUCGUCAUGUGAUGAUCAAACAAGAAAGCAUUAACUUGACAGUAAUAUCGAGGAUCACAUACAAUAUUAUAACGGUGAUAAGUAUCACGAUGAUAAUCGCUUUUAAAAAGUAUAUUUGAAGAAAGGUAUGCAAAGGAAGCUUACCGAUAUCAUUUGUAACGGCUGUAAUACUCUGGACUUUUGACAGAGCUGUAACAGUGUUCAACGUGUGUCUCAAAAGUACCGAGAUCAAUUGACCCAUCAUCGCCAGCCUCGUAUGUUCGGAACGGUUACGGCUUCAUGAUCCGGGGGAAAGGGGGUAUUGGGUAUUCGGUACUCGUGACCAGGCAGCGAAUUUGUGAACGAAGGUACGCACUUUGAGUUCGAAGAGCCAUAAAACGAUUGGAAAUCAACUGAUUGACACCAACAUUGGUCUUGGAACCAGGCGAUUGAGAUCGCAUACUUUCCUAUACCCCAAAACUUAUGCUUGAAGUUGCGAUGGAUCGACUAACGCAUAUAGGACCGAAGGAGAGCUAUGAUAAGUGGGCGAUACUGCGAGGAAGCAAUAGAAUUAUCUACGUGAAUGGUUUUCAUUUUACACUACAUUCUAGCGAAAAAAAUCAUAAGUUAGAGCAACUAGUGUGACGCUGUAAAAGAUCAAGGGGCAAUUACAAUGUUCAAUCUAGGUUAAUGAUGCUUUGGGGGAAAUAUCUAGUUGCCCGAACUCGGGAAGCUUGCUUAGGAAUGAAUUAUUUUUUUUUUGUAUCGAAUAUUAACAAUCGCACAAAGUACUCUCACAAACGCGCCGCACAGUUUACUCCAUAUACAAUCACUUAUCAGCCGCUGUUGUCAACACGAUCCCGUCAGCCCACGCUUAAAUAAGACAACUGAGCGACAUUGCAUAAAGGCGUUACUUGUGCUCGGAUAAAAAAAAGUAAAUAGCCAUAGUUAGAGUUUAGGAAGCGGAAAAGUUGUUGGACACCGACUCUUUGUUUCAAUUACAGCGUAAAGUUGUAGCGGCUAUUGCUACACAAAUAACAUACUACUAUGAUACAGAAAUUCAGUGAGUGAUUGAAAACAAAUAGAUAUUGUAUGUAUCUAAUAAAUGUGGCCAACGACGAUCUUGCGUAUCGUUGUUUCGGAUUCAACUGAA
This 5418-nucleotide long non-coding RNA is filed under the name Varroa destructor (honeybee mite). Its description in RNAcentral is "uncharacterized LOC111247291". Lineage: Eukaryota; Metazoa; Arthropoda; Arachnida; Mesostigmata; Varroidae. The record is from RNAcentral.